AAGAAAAAUCAAUGCGAUAAAAUGAACAAUGAAAUAUCUGAUGCUGAUUUUUUAUGCAUGAAUAUGAAUGUAUGUGAUUAUGAUUAUGCUGGCGAAAUAACAAGAAGAUUGGAAUCAUCAUUAAAACACUCAGUUAAUCUCAACAAGAUGGAAACACCAACUGGAGAAUCUCCUAGGGAUGAAAAUAAAUCAUCUAGCUCAGUAUAAGUCAACUUUGGAAGGGGAGAGUCAUGCUUUCAACGAACUCAGGGCGAACUUCGCAGGGGAAGAGAGCAUUGCUG
This 281-nucleotide long non-coding RNA is filed under the name Lathyrus oleraceus (garden pea). Its description in RNAcentral is "Pisum sativum (pea) long non-coding RNA (PSAT_LNC042292)". Lineage: Eukaryota; Viridiplantae; Streptophyta; Magnoliopsida; Fabales; Fabaceae. The record is from RNAcentral.